GACGAACGCUGGCGGCGUGCCUAAUACAUGCAAGUCGAACGCAUUUUCUUUCACCGUAGCUUGCUACACCGAAAGAAAAUGAGUGGCGAACGGGUGAGUAACACGUGGGUAACCUGCCCAUCAGCGGGGGAUAACACUUGGAAACAGGUGCUAAUACCGCAUAAUUCCAUUUACCGCAUGGUAGAUGGAUGAAAGGCGCUUUUGCGUCACUGAUGGAUGGACCCGCGGUGCAUUAGCUAGUUGGUGGGGUAACGGCCUACCAAGGCUGCGAUGCAUAGCCGACCUGGGAGGGUGAUCGGCCACACUGGGACUGAGACACGGCCCAGACUCCUACGGGAGGCAGCAGUAGGGAAUCUUCGGCAAUGGACGCAAGUCUGACCGGGCAACGCCGCGUGAGUGAAGAAGGUUUUCGGAUCGUAAAACUCUGUUGUUAGAGAAGAACAAGGAUGAGAGUGGAAAGUUCAUCCCUUGACGGUAUCUAACCAGAAAGCCACGGCUAACUACGUG
This 507-nucleotide ribosomal RNA is filed under the name uncultured bacterium. RNAcentral's name for it is "partial 16S ribosomal RNA". It matches the Rfam family "Bacterial small subunit ribosomal RNA", at positions 28 to 507 of the family's 1533-position model. The record is from RNAcentral.